GUCAAGUCAUCAUGGCCCUUAUGGGCAGGGCUACACACGUGCUACAAUGGCGAAUACAAAGGGUUGCGAACUCGCGAGACGGAGCAAAUCCCAUCAAAGCCGGUCCCAGUUCGGAUUGCAGGCUGAAACUCGCCUGCAUGAAGCCGGAAUCGCUAGUAACGGUAGGUCAGCACACUACCGUGAAUACGUUCCCGGGUCUU
RNAcentral lists this ribosomal RNA (200 nucleotides) under uncultured organism. RNAcentral's name for it is "partial small subunit ribosomal RNA". It matches the Rfam family "Bacterial small subunit ribosomal RNA", at positions 1184 to 1382 of the family's 1533-position model. The record is from RNAcentral.